RNAcentral lists this unclassified non-coding RNA (166 nucleotides) under uncultured Fusicolla. RNAcentral's name for it is "sequence contains ITS2". Lineage: Eukaryota; Fungi; Ascomycota; Sordariomycetes; Hypocreales; Nectriaceae. The record is from RNAcentral.
CAACCCUCAAGCCCCCGGGCUUGGUGUUGGGGCUCGGCCCGUCCCUCGCGGCGCGCCGUCCCCGAAAUCUAGUGGCGGUCUCGCUGCAGCCUCCCCUGCGUAGUAGCUAACACUCGCAACGGGACCUGCGCGGGGCCACGCCGUUAAACCCCCAACUUUCUGAUGG